RNAcentral lists this ribosomal RNA (403 nucleotides) under Fusobacteriota bacterium. RNAcentral's name for it is "Fusobacteria bacterium partial 16S ribosomal RNA". It matches the Rfam family "Bacterial small subunit ribosomal RNA", at positions 355 to 776 of the family's 1533-position model. The record is from RNAcentral. Lineage: Bacteria; Fusobacteriati; Fusobacteriota.
UGGGGAAUAUUGCACAAUGGGGGAAACCCUGAUGCAGCGACGCCGCGUGAGCGAAGAAGGUUUUCGAAUCGUAAAGCUCUGUCCUAUGGGAAGAUAAUGACGGUACCAUAGGAGGAAGCCCCGGCUAACUACGUGCCAGCAGCCGCGGUAAUACGUAGGGGGCAAGCGUUGUCCGGAAUCACUGGGCGUAAAGGGUUCGCAGGCGGAAAUGCAAGUCAGUUGUGAAAGGCAGAGGCUCAACCUCUGUAAGCAAUUGAAACUGUAUUUCUUGAGAUGUGGAGAGGCAAGUGGAAUUCCUAGUGUAGCGGUGAAAUGCUUAGAUAUUAGGAAGAAUACCGGUGGCGAAGGCGACUUGCUGGACACAAACUGACGCUGAGGAACGAAAGCGUGGGUAGCAAACAGG